UUGACCUCGGAUCAGGUAGGGAUACCCGCUGAACUUAAGCAUAUCAAUAAGCGGAGGAAAAGAAACCAACAGGGAUUGCCCCAGUAACGGCGAGUGAAGCGGCAAGAGCUCAAAUUUGAAAGCUGGCUCCUUCGGGGUCCGCAUUGUAAUUUGCAGAGGAUGCUUCGGGAGCGGUCCCCAUCUAAGUUCCCUGGAACGGGACGUCAUAGAGGGUGAGAAUCCCGUAUGGGAUGGGGUGUCCGCGCCCGUGUGAAGCUCCUUCGACGAGUCGAGUUGUUUGGGAAUGCAGCUCUAAAUGGGUGGUAAAUUUCAUCUAAAGCUAAAUAUUGGCCGGAGACCGAUAGCGCACAAGUAGAGUGAUCGAAAGAUGAAAAGCACUUUGAAAAGAGAGUUAAAAAGCACGUGAAAUUGUUGAAAGGGAAGCGCUUGCGACCAGACUCGCUCGCGGGGUUCAGCCGGCAUUCGUGCCGGUGUACUUCCCCGCGAGCGGGCCAGCGUCGGUUUGGGCGGUCGGUCAAAGGCCCUCGGAAGGUAACGCCCCCAGGGGCGUCUUAUAGCCGAGGGUGCAAUGCGACCUGCCUAGACCGAGGAACGCGCUUCGGCUCGGACGCUGGCAUAAUGGUCGUAAGCGACC
Molecule: ribosomal RNA, 634 nt
Filed under: Penicillium baarnense
Lineage: Eukaryota; Fungi; Ascomycota; Eurotiomycetes; Eurotiales; Aspergillaceae
Description: eukaryotic LSU rRNA
Rfam family: Eukaryotic large subunit ribosomal RNA
Source: RNAcentral